AGUGAACGCUGGCGGUAGGCCUAACACAUGCAAGUCGAACGGCAGCACAGUAAGAGCUUGCUCUUACGGGUGGCGAGUGGCGGACGGGUGAGGAAUACAUCGGAAUCUACUUUUUCGUGGGGGAUAACGUAGGGAAACUUACGCUAAUACCGCAUACGACCUACGGGUGAAAGCAGGGGAUCUUCGGACCUUGCGCGAUUGAAUGAGCCGAUGUCGGAUUAGCUAGUUGGCGGGGUAAAGGCCCACCAAGGCGACGAUCCGUAGCUGGUCUGAGAGGAUGAUCGGCCACACCGGAACUGAGACACGGUCCAGACUCCUACGGGAGGCAGCAGUGGGGAAUAUUGGACAAUGGGCGCAAGCCUGAUCCAGCCAUACCGCGUGAGUGAAGAAGGCCUUCGGGUUGUAAAGCCCUUUUGUUGGGAAAGAAAAGCAGCAGGUUAAUACCCCGCUGUUCUGACGGUACCCAAAGAAUAAGCACCGGCUAACUUCGUG
Molecule: ribosomal RNA, 492 nt
Filed under: uncultured bacterium
Lineage: Bacteria
Description: partial 16S ribosomal RNA
Rfam family: Bacterial small subunit ribosomal RNA
Source: RNAcentral